Molecule: ribosomal RNA, 539 nt
Filed under: uncultured bacterium
Lineage: Bacteria
Description: bacterial SSU rRNA
Rfam family: Bacterial small subunit ribosomal RNA
Source: RNAcentral
GAGGAAUAUUGGUCAAUGGACGAGAGUCUGAACCAGCCAAGUAGCGUGCAGGAUGACGGCCCUAUGGGUUGUAAACUGCUUUUGUAUGGGGAUAAAGUCAAUCACGUGUGAUUGUUUGCAGGUACCAUACGAAUAAGGACCGGCUAAUUCCGUGCCAGCAGCCGCGGUAAUACGGAAGGUCCGGGCGUUAUCCGGAUUUAUUGGGUUUAAAGGGAGCGUAGGCCGGAGAUUAAGUGUGUUGUGAAAUGUAGACGCUCAACGUCUGACUUGCAGCGCAUACUGGUUUCCUUGAGUACGCACAACGUUGGCGGAAUUCGUCGUGUAGCGGUGAAAUGCUUAGAUAUGACGAAGAACUCCGAUUGCGAAGGCAGCUGACGGGAGCGCAACUGACGCUUAAGCUCGAAGGUGCGGGUAUCGAACAGGAUUAGAUACCCUGGUAGUCCGCACAGUAAACGAUGGAUGCCCGCUGUUGGUACCUGGUAUCAGCGGCUAGGCGAAAGCAUUAAGCAUCCCACCUGGGGAGUACGCCGGCAACGGUG